AUUGAACGCUGGCGGCAUGCUUUACACAUGCAAGUCGAACGGCAGCGCGGGCUUCGGCCUGGCGGCGAGUGGCGAACGGGUGAGUAAUGCAUCGGAACGUGCCCAGUAGUGGGGGAUAGCCCGGCGAAAGCCGGAUUAAUACCGCAUACGACCUGAGGGUGAAAGCGGGGGACCGAAAGGCCUCGCGCUGUUGGAGCGGCCGAUGUCGGAUUAGCUAGUUGGUGGGGUAAAGGCUUACCAAGGCGACGAUCCGUAGCUGGUCUGAGAGGACGACCAGCCACACUGGGACUGAGACACGGCCCAGACUCCUACGGGGGGCAGCAGUGGGGAAUUUUGGACAAUGGGGGCAACCCUGAUCCAGCCAUGCCGCGUGCGGGAAGAAGGCCUUCGGGUUGUAAACCGCUUUUGUUCGGGAAGAAAUCCUCUGGGCUAAUACCCCGGGGGGAUGACGGUACCGGAAGAAUAAGCACCGGCUAACUACGUG
RNAcentral lists this ribosomal RNA (484 nucleotides) under uncultured bacterium. RNAcentral describes it as "partial 16S ribosomal RNA". It matches the Rfam family "Bacterial small subunit ribosomal RNA", at positions 28 to 507 of the family's 1533-position model. The record is from RNAcentral.